AUGCUAGAAGAUGAACCCUCUGGCUCUCUCUGUCUCUUCGUCACUCGGUCUUCAAGUAGCUCAAUGAGUGCAUCUUUGUCCUUAGACUUCAACUGUAACUCUUCAUGCUUCUUGCUCAAAGCAUGGAAACGCUCUUCCCACAUAUCUUUCUCUCGCUUCAUCUUGACCAGUGCAUCUUCCAACUCCUCUACAUCUUGGUUAGGGAGAGUUAAUGGCUCAACCACAACCAUAGACAUAGGUCUUUCACAAGGAUAAUGCAUCUUCAAA
This 267-nucleotide long non-coding RNA is filed under the name Lathyrus oleraceus (garden pea). RNAcentral's name for it is "Pisum sativum (pea) long non-coding RNA (PSAT_LNC018612)". Lineage: Eukaryota; Viridiplantae; Streptophyta; Magnoliopsida; Fabales; Fabaceae. The record is from RNAcentral.